GCUCUUCGGACUCUCACAUUCUCUAGACCUUCCACUCUCUUCGCUAGACUUUUCGAGUCUCUACCGAUUCGGCCGAGCUGGCCUUCCUCGUUGCGACCCCAAGCCCAAAUCUCGCCGUUGGAGGUGACUGCGAGGGAGUGGUAGUGUCCGGCGGAUAUGAACGAGACGUCGGAAGGCAUAUCGGAAACUUGAGUUGGCUCGUAAGCGUCGAGGCCCAUUCCCGUGCCUGGUAGCCCCAAAGCGCCGUGGCUUCCAUCGCCGAAGCUCAUGACUUUGCUACUUCUCUCGCCAACAAUGGUCGUGAACCAUCGUCGUCUCCCGAAAUUGGAAAGUUUCGCGAUCGACCAUAGUCGCACCAUUUCACCUUUUGAGAAAUUGAAGCCAAAGGAGAAAGAAACAAAAGUAAUUUUGAAAUUUGAUUUAGUUAACAAAAAGAAAUAGUAUCUGUUCCAUAGUUGUGGGCCUUUUAUGUUCUCCAAAAGCCCAGCCCACUAAAUGUUAAUGUCUAACUUGGAUGAAUUUUGUGUGACGGCCGUAUAAGUGAAACAGUAAAUUUGAAUUUUGCUUCACUAUUUAGAAAACAAUAAUAUAACUUUGUGGUAUGGGCCCAUUGUGGCUCACUUGGAUGAGUUUAGUAUUAGUGUUUUUGCAAUCACAUCAUCUCCUCUCUUUUCAUAUAUACUCAAAUCUUUAUAUUAGUAGUACAAACGAGUGACAGAAUCAUCUUGAGUCUAACUGAGAAGUGAGAACUGUAUAACUCGAAUGAGGCAUGUAAUGAGUAAAGCUUGAUGAAGCAAAGGUUUUGGAAGUGAAGAACAUAGUUCCCGAGGUUGUCUCUAACGUUGUUGCGCAUCAAAUAGAGAGAAUCUUUGAUGAGAAAACAAGAAAAUGACUGAGAUUUCUCACAUUUUUGCUAGAGAUAAAGUAAGGAAACAGGGAAGAAUGAUUGUAAAUUUUCGUUCAUGGGAUUAUUCAAGAAGCGAAUGUAUUUCAAGAAGAGCUUAUUCUCGAACUUGCAAAAGCAGUGAGUUAGAUAUGGUUUGUGUAUUACUGGAGAUGAGAAGCGAAAGCUGACAUGACUUCCUUGUAGACUGGCUUCUUGAAAUCCACUGCCUGAAGUAAUCGGAAACAGAAGAAGAUGAGUGAAAAAGUAGUAGUAGAAUCUAAAAGCUGAAACUCUAACACAUAUAAAAGAAAAGAAAAAAACUGGACUCACAAGUUCAACGAGCUGAUCAGGAGACACCCAUGACCACUCCCCAAACUCGGGUUGCUCAGUUCCGUCACCAAGAAGAUUAAUUUCUUCGUCUUUCCCAGUAAAUUUCAGAAGAAACCUGAGGAUUUCCACACAGUAUUUGAUCAGUUCUAAACUCAAAAUCAAAAUGACAUGAGUCUGCGAUUAAAUACAGCCCCAAACCCAAGCUUCUCCUUUCUCUGUGACACACAAGGAAUGCACACGCCCUGCUGAUACAGAAGCUGGAGUUUCCUCAUCCAAACCCUCCACUUCUCUUGGCAGCUCUUCUGGCUUUCCCCUACCAAGCUGCUGGCUCCGGUUCCAACCCCAUGAUGAGACAACCCUCCUUGUGUUGGAGGAAUCUGACUCAACAUUGCAGAUAGCUAGAGAAUGACCAAGACCAGCUGCUACUGAAACCGGAGACCCGGUUAUAUCAACAGGUGACAUUCCUAGGUCCUGCUUAUUCCUACGACCCAGCUGACCAUACACAUUGCUCCCGGAGCUCAAAAGAGUACCAUCACGACAAAGGACUAAAGAAUGAUCAGACCCGCACGCAAUAUCUUCCACCUUCACACCACGCAACUCUUCCACCAAACGAGGCUCCCAAGCUAUAGGCAUGUUGCUCUCCUUCCUCAUAGCUUCCGCAACUUUCUUCUCAGCUGCCUCCUCACCAUACCCACUUGCAAGUGAAUCAAGAGGAGACGCCUCAAGAGGAAGUCCAACAUUCCCUACUCUCCCAUCAGCUACAUAACCCCACCCAAACACUUUACCAUCAGCACUAAGAGCAAGCACAUGCCCCCAACCUAAUGACACCUGUCAAAAACCGAACCUAAAUCAAAAAGAUUCCAUUUUUAAAACCCAAAACGUUGUUAAUUUCCUUUUUUUUUAAUCCAAACCUUAACGAUGUGUUCUUGACAUAAAGCUUCAACCUUUGAAGGAACCAGAGCUUCAACGAUACCUUUCCCAAGCCCAAGCUGUCCUCUUUUCGAUCUUCCCCAAACCCACAAAGACCCAUCAUCUCCAACCGCGGUUGAAACAACUCCAGACGCAAACGCUCUUCGGACUCUCACAUUCUCUAGACCUUCCACUCUCUUCGCUAGACUUUUCGAGUCUCUACCGAUUCGGCCGAGCUGGCCUUCCUCGUUGCGACCCCAAGCCCAAAUCUCGCCGUUGGAGGUGACUGCGAGGGAGUGGUAGUGUCCGGCGGAUAUGAACGAGACGUCGGAAGGCAUAUCGGAAACUUGAGUUGGCUCGUAAGCGUCGAGGCCCAUUCCCGUGCCUGGUAGCCCCAAAGCGCCGUG
This 2532-nucleotide long non-coding RNA is filed under the name Brassica napus (rape). Its description in RNAcentral is "long non-coding RNA (BNAP_LNC004694)". The record is from RNAcentral. Lineage: Eukaryota; Viridiplantae; Streptophyta; Magnoliopsida; Brassicales; Brassicaceae.